This 562-nucleotide ribosomal RNA is filed under the name uncultured bacterium. Its description in RNAcentral is "bacterial SSU rRNA". It matches the Rfam family "Bacterial small subunit ribosomal RNA", at positions 338 to 916 of the family's 1533-position model. The record is from RNAcentral.
CCUACGGGAGGCAGCAGUGGGGAAUAUUGGACAAUGGGCGAAAGCCUGAUCCAGCAAUGCCGCGUGAGUGAUGAAGGCCUUAGGGUUGUAAAGCUCUUUUACCAGGGAUGAUAAUGACAGUACCUGGAGAAUAAGCUCCGGCUAACUCCGUGCCAGCAGCCGCGGUAAUACGGAGGGAGCUAGCGUUGUUCGGAAUUACUGGGCGUAAAGCGUACGUAGGCGGUUAUUCAAGUCAGAGGUGAAAGCCUGGAGCUCAACUCCAGAACUGCCUUUGAAACUAGAUAGCUAGAAUCUUGGAGAGGUGAGUGGAAUUCCGAGUGUAGAGGUGAAAUUCGUAGAUAUUCGGAAGAACACCAGUGGCGAAGGCGACUCACUGGACAAGUAUUGACGCUGAGGUACGAAAGCGUGGGGAGCAAACAGGAUUAGAUACCCUGGUAGUCCACGCCGUAAACGAUGAUAACUAGCUGUUCGGGCUCUACGAGCUUGAGUGGCGCAGCUAACGCAUUAAGUUAUCCGCCUGGGGAGUACGGUCGCAAGAUUAAAACUCAAAAUGAAUUGACGG